Molecule: ribosomal RNA, 253 nt
Filed under: uncultured bacterium
Lineage: Bacteria
Description: partial 16S ribosomal RNA
Rfam family: Bacterial small subunit ribosomal RNA
Source: RNAcentral
AACGUAGGAGACAAACGUUAUCCGGAGUUACUGGGCGUAAAGGGCGUGUAGGUGGUUUCGUAAGUCUGGCGUGAAAUUUCUCGGCUUAACCGAGGCAGGUCGUCGGAUACUAUGAGACUAGAGGACGGUAGAGGCGUGUGGAAUUCCGGGUGUAGUGGUGAAAUGCGUAGAGAUCCGGAGGAACACCAGUGGCGAAGGCGACACGCUGGGCCGUACCUGACACUGAUGCGCGACAGCAUGGGGAGCAAACAGG